This 342-nucleotide long non-coding RNA is filed under the name Elaeis guineensis (African oil palm). RNAcentral describes it as "long non-coding RNA (EGUI_LNC056284)". The record is from RNAcentral. Lineage: Eukaryota; Viridiplantae; Streptophyta; Magnoliopsida; Arecales; Arecaceae.
CAGAGUCCCCAUCCACUAGGACUCUUCAGAUUAGCCAUGUGAUCGAAAAGAGACUUCUAAAGUGUGUGACCCCAUAGGUUCGAACCUAAGCUAGUAGUACAAAAAUUAAUUUUUAUACCAAUCGAAGUAACCAUCUAGCAAUGGUGCUCGACGUUCGGAUGGACUGAAUGUAUGCAAAGCAACACUCAAGAAUUUAUUUAGAUAUAGUUACCAUAUAAUUCAUCCCUUUGAUCCUUGAUGCUAGGAUGAUUUAGAGUUUGAACUGUCAACUCUUAAUAGUACAUCCAUUAUGUGUCUCAACCUAAUAAAUCUUGUGACUCCUCAUAAGGAUUGCCCUGACCA